Molecule: small nucleolar RNA, 93 nt
Organism: Salvia splendens (bonfire salvia)
Lineage: Eukaryota; Viridiplantae; Streptophyta; Magnoliopsida; Lamiales; Lamiaceae
Product: small nucleolar RNA snoR128
Exons: 1
Source: RefSeq, a predicted model, not a curated record
UUGCUAUGAUGAGUACUUUCAGUUUUUGAGAAGCUCAUGAAUGCUUGAUGAAACAUUGACAAUCAUGUCAGUGCUGAGCGGUUACCUGAGCAU